CAGCCGCCGCGGUAAUACGGAGGGGGCUAGCGUUGUUCGGAAUUACUGGGCGUAAAGCGCACGUAGGCGGCGAUUUAAGUCAGAGGUGAAAGCCCGGGGCUCAACCCCGGAACUGCCUUUGAGACUGGAUUGCUAGAAUCUUGGAGAGGCGGGUGGAAUUCCGAGUGUAGAGGUGAAAUUCGUAGAUAUUCGGAAGAACACCAGUGGCGAAGGCGACAUACUGGAUCAUUACUGACGCUGAGGCUCGAAAGCGUGGGGAGCAAACAGGAUUAGAUACCCCAGUAGUCCCUGUCUCUAUACA
Molecule: ribosomal RNA, 301 nt
Filed under: uncultured bacterium
Lineage: Bacteria
Description: partial 16S ribosomal RNA
Rfam family: Bacterial small subunit ribosomal RNA
Source: RNAcentral